GACGAACGCUGGCGGCGUGCUUAACACAUGCAAGUGGAGCGACGAACCAGACUUCGGUCUGGGGCAAAGCCGCGAACGGGUGAGUAUCACGUGGGUAACGUACCCCGAUGACCGGGACAACCCGAGGAAACUCGAGCUAAUACCGGAUGUGCUGUGCGGCCUCAAGGCCGCUCAGUAAAGGAAGCUUCGGCCUCCGCAUUGGGAGCGGCCCGCGGCCCAUUAGCUUGUUGGUGAGGUAACGGCUCACCAAGGCAACGAUGGGUAGCUGGUCUGAGAGGACGAUCAGCCACACUGGGACUGAGACACGGCCCAGACUCCUACGGGAGGCAGCAGUGGGGAGUCUUGCGCAAUGCGCGAAAGCGUGACGCAGCAACGCCGCGUGAGGGAAGACGGCCUGGUU
Molecule: ribosomal RNA, 400 nt
Filed under: uncultured bacterium
Lineage: Bacteria
Description: bacterial SSU rRNA
Rfam family: Bacterial small subunit ribosomal RNA
Source: RNAcentral